RNAcentral lists this ribosomal RNA (404 nucleotides) under Bacteroidota bacterium. Its description in RNAcentral is "Bacteroidetes bacterium partial 16S ribosomal RNA". It matches the Rfam family "Bacterial small subunit ribosomal RNA", at positions 355 to 776 of the family's 1533-position model. Lineage: Bacteria; Pseudomonadati; Bacteroidota. The record is from RNAcentral.
UGGGGAAUUUUGCACAAUGGGGGAAACCCUGAUGCAGCGACGCCGCGUGAGCGAAGAAGGCCUUCGGGUCGUAAAGCUCUUUUAUGAGGGAAGAUAAUGACGGUACCUCAAGAAAAAGCCCCGGCUAACUACGUGCCAGCAGCCGCGGUAAUACGUAGGGGGCUAGCGUUGUCCGGAAUCACUGGGCGUAAAGGGUUCGCAGGCGGAAUAACAAGUCAGAUGUGAAAGGCAUGGGCUCAACCCAUGUAAGCAUUUGAAACUGUAAUUCUUGAGAAGUGGAGAGGUAAGUGGAAUUCCUAGUGUAGCGGUGAAAUGCGUAGAUAUUAGGAGGAAUACCUGUGGCGAAGGCGACUUACUGGACACAAAUCUGACGCUGAGGAACGAAAGCGUGGGUAGCAAACAGG